Long non-coding RNA from Homo sapiens (human), 2067 nucleotides. Ensembl annotates it as growth arrest specific 5. Its record names the gene GAS5. The record is from Ensembl. NCBI's taxonomy places the organism in Eukaryota, Metazoa, Chordata, Mammalia, Primates, Hominidae.
CUUUUCGAGGUAGGAGUCGACUCCUGUGAGGUAUGGUGCUGGGUGCAGAUGCAGUGUGGCUCUGGAUAGCACCUUAUGGACAGUUGUGUCCCCAAGGAAGGAUGAGAAUAGCUACUGAAGUAAGUUGAAAAUUCCCUCUCAAAAAGGUUUAAAGCCAUUGGAUGUGCCACAAUGAUGACAGUUUAUUUGCUACUCUUGAGUGCUAGAAUGAUGAGGAUCUUAACCACCAUUAUCUUAACUGAGGCACCCAAAAUGGUGAGUUGGGGAACAUAGAGAGUACACCUAAGUUCACAUGAAGUUGUUUCUUCCCAGGUCCUAAAGAGCAAGCCUAACUCAAGCCAUUGGCACACAGGCAUUAGACAGAAAGCUGGAAGUUGAAAUGGUGGAGUCCAACUUGCCUGGACCAGCUUAAUGGUUCUGCUCCUGGUAACGUUUUUAUCCAUGGAUGACUUGCUUGGGUAAGGACAUGAAGACAGUUCCUGUCAUACCUUUUAAAGGUACAUGUUUUAUUGAUGUUAACGUUAAUUGAUUGAGCUACUGUUAGUGAUGAUUUUAAAAUUAAAGCAGAUGGGAAUCUCUCUGAGAAAGAAAAUGGAGAUUAAUCUUAAACUGAAACAGUAGUUGGGAAAUCUUUUAGAAAUCCACCUAUUACUACCUAUUGGUAAAGGAGAUUAAAUUUCUACAGGUAUGGAGAGUCGGCUUGACUACACUGUGUGGAGCAAGUUUUAAAGAAGCAAAGGUAUAGCAGUUCCAAGUAUUUUUUUUUUUUUUUUAGACAAGAGUCUAGCUCUUGCCCAGAAUGGAGUGCAGCGGCACUAUCAGUUCACUGCAACCUCUGCCUCCCAGGUUCAAGGAAUUCUCCUGCCUCAGCCUCUUGAGUAGCUGGGAUUACAGGCAUGUGACACCAUGCCUGGCUAAUUUUGUACAGCUAUGUUGUCCAGGCUGGUCUCGAACUCUUGACCUCAAGUGAUACUGCCCGCACUGACCUCCCAAAGUGCUGGGAUUACAGGCGUGAGCCACCAUGCCCCGCCUCAAGUCUGGUUUUUAAGUGUUGUAAAGCCGAUACAAUGAUGAUAACAUAGUUCAGCAGACUAACGCUGAUGAGCAAUAUUAAGUCUUUCGCUCCUAUCUGAUGUAUCUGGCGGUAACAUUCUAGUUUAUGCCCCGAAAAGGGGAAUAUAGCCAUUCUAUAAUGUUUGGAGAUUUUGGAUUACUCCUAAUUGUAUGCAAGUUGUCUUACUGUGUAUUGUCCCUUAAUUUCAGGACUCAGAAUUCAUGAUUGAAGAAAUGCAGGUUAGUUUAAACUUUGAAGGAAAUUUUUAAGGUGGCAAAAGGUUUUGGUGGCAUAUACACCUUAAUCUGUAGAUGGGAGUGAUUAGCUGUUUAAAAGUUAAAAUGUGACUGAGAAGGAAAUUGAGUAGGGCAAAUUUUAAAUGGGUAUUAUUUUUCAUCUUCAAACAGGCAGACCUGUUAUCCUAAACUAGGUGAGUCAGCUUUUGGUACAUGUGAUGAUUUUCAGUGUAACCAAUGAUGUAAUGAUUCUGCCAAAUGAAAUAUAAUGAUAUCACUGUAAAACCGUUCCAUUUUGAUUCUGAGGUUACUCUACUAACAAGCAUCACACAUUUGUAUUUUGCCCUGAUUAAUAUGUUGGCUUCGCUUUCAGGGUUUUUAAUGACCACAACAAGCAAGCAUGCAGCUUACUGCUUGAAAGGUGAGGAUUGGAAAUGUUGGGACUAUUAUAAUUGCAGAAUACAUGAUGAUCUCAAUCCAACUUGAACUCUCUCACUGAUUACUUGAUGACAAUAAAAUAUCUGAUAUUCUGCAUUCCCAUGUAGCAUUUUAAUUGAAGUCUGUAAAUGUGGCUAAAAGUCUUGUCUUAUUUUUUGAGACAGGGUCUUGCCUCACCCAAGCUAGAGUGCAGUGGCCUUUGAAGCUUACUACAGCCUCAAACUUCUGGGCUCAAGUGAUCCUCAGCCUCCCAGUGGUCUUUGUAGACUGCCUGAUGGAGUCUCAUGGCACAAGAAGAUUAAAACAGUGUCUCCAAUUUUAAUAAAUUUUUGCAAUCCA